This is a non-coding RNA of Vicugna pacos (alpaca), 618 nucleotides long. NCBI's taxonomy places the organism in Eukaryota, Metazoa, Chordata, Mammalia, Artiodactyla, Camelidae. The record is from RefSeq and is a predicted model, not a curated record.
CUGCAGACCAGCAACACUGGUAUCACUUGGGUACUUGUUAGAAAUGCAGAAUCUCAGGCCCUACCCCAGACCUACUGAAUCAGAACCUGUAUUUUAACAAGAAACCAGGUGCCCCAAUGCCAUGGAUGAGCCACUCUAAAGAAUCUGAAACACCUUAUGGGACGCUAAGAAGCCAUCACCAUCCUCCAGAAGGAGCCAGGAAUGAAAUGUUCACAACCUUCAUGACAAGGGGCACCUGUAGGACAGAGCCAGGACACUGGGAAGAGAGAAGUCGGCAGAAAGAGAAAAAUGGAGGGAGAGGAACGUAAAGGGCUGUCAGGAGCACACUGAAGCUGCCUUUGAAUGAACUGGGAGGUGACUUAGCUGGUGGUCCUCAAGACUAUACACACAUAUGAUACUAUGUAAAAGCUGUCUGUUCAGCUUCAACAUCAUGCUACAUUCUUCUCCCGCUCCAGCUUUAUUGAGAUAUAAUCGACAUGUAUCAUCAUGAAUCAGACUCAACCUAAUGGAUCCUGAUUUGUUGGUUUCCCCUCAUGUUCAAAGCAACAGGAAAUGUCCAGAUGCUUAGAUAAUAAAGCGUCAUAGUUGCUUUAGAAAAACAGUUUACUUAAGAAGCUU